Molecule: ribosomal RNA, 253 nt
Filed under: uncultured bacterium
Lineage: Bacteria
Description: partial 16S ribosomal RNA
Rfam family: Bacterial small subunit ribosomal RNA
Source: RNAcentral
UACGAAGGGGGCUAGCGUUGUUCGGAAUUAUUGGGCGUAAAGGGCUCGUAGGCGGCCAACUAAGUCGGAUGUGAAAUCCCCAGGCUUAACCUGGGAACUGCAUCCGAUACUGGAUGGCUUGAAUCCGGGAGAGGGAUGCGGAAUUCCAGGUGUAGCGGUGAAAUGCGUAGAUAUCUGGAGGAACACCGGUGGCGAAGGCGGCAUCCUGGACCGGCAUUGACGCUGAGGAGCGAAAGCCAGGGGAGCAAACGGG